RNAcentral lists this ribosomal RNA (441 nucleotides) under uncultured bacterium. RNAcentral describes it as "bacterial SSU rRNA". It matches the Rfam family "Bacterial small subunit ribosomal RNA", at positions 338 to 795 of the family's 1533-position model. The record is from RNAcentral.
CCUANGGGGGGCAGCAGUAAGGAAUCUUCCACAAUGGGGGCAACCCUGAUGGAGCAAUGCCGCGUGCAGGAUGAAGCGUUUCGGCGUGUAAACUGCUUUUGUCACCGACGAUUAUGACGGUAGGUGAAGAAUAAGGACCGGCUAACUACGUGCCAGCAGCCGCGGUAAUACGUAGGGUCCAAGCGUUAUCCGGAAUUACUGGGCGUAAAGCGUCUGUAGGCGGCUUUUCAAGUCGGGUGUGAAAUCUUACGGCUCAACCGUAUAGACUGUGCCCGAAACUGAUCGGCUAGAGGUAGGUAGAGGCAAGUGGAAUUUCUGGUGUAGGAGUGACAUCCGUAGAUAUCAGAAGGAACACCAAUGGCGAAGGCAGCUUGCUGGGCCUUACCUGACGCUCAGAGACGAAAGCGUGGGGAGCGAACGGGAUUAGAUACCCCUNUANUC